This 520-nucleotide unclassified non-coding RNA is filed under the name uncultured Glomus. Its description in RNAcentral is "SSU rRNA". It matches the Rfam family "Eukaryotic small subunit ribosomal RNA", at positions 569 to 1093 of the family's 1831-position model. The record is from RNAcentral. Lineage: Eukaryota; Fungi; Glomeromycota; Glomeromycetes; Glomerales; Glomeraceae.
AGCAGCCGCGGUAAUUCCAGCUCCAAUAGCGUAUAUUAAAGUUGUUGCAGUUAAAAGCUCGUAGUUGAAUUUCGGGGUUAGUAGGUUGGUCAUGCCUCUGGUAUGUACUGGUCUCACUGAUUCCUCCUUCCUGAUGAACCUUAAUGCCAUUAAUUUGGUGUUUUGGGGAAUUUGGACUGUUACUUUGAAAAAUUAGAGUGUUUAAAGCAAGCUAACGCUUGAAUACAUUAGCAUGGAAUAAUGAAAUAGGACGUUCGAUCCUAUUUUGUUGGUUUCUAGGAUUGACGUAAUGAUUAAUAGGGAUAGUUGGGGGCAUUAGUAUUCAAUUGUCAGAGGUGAAAUUCUUGGAUUUAUUGAAGACUAACUACUGCGAAAGCAUUUGCCAAGGAUGUUUUCAUUAAUCAAGAACGAAAGUUAGGGAUCGAAGACGAUCAGAUACCGUCGUAGUCUUAACCAUAAACUAUGCCGACUAGGGAUCGGAUGAUGUUAAUUUUUAAUGUACUCAUUCGGCGCCUUACGA